This is a non-coding RNA of Podarcis lilfordi (Lilford's wall lizard), 70 nucleotides long. The record is from the annotation of a GenBank genome assembly. NCBI's taxonomy places the organism in Eukaryota, Metazoa, Chordata, Lepidosauria, Squamata, Lacertidae.
GGAUAGCUCAGUUGGUUAGAGUGUGGCACUGAUAAUGGCAAGGCUGCAAGUUCGAUUCUCAUAUGGGACA